Molecule: ribosomal RNA, 470 nt
Filed under: uncultured bacterium
Lineage: Bacteria
Description: bacterial SSU rRNA
Rfam family: Bacterial small subunit ribosomal RNA
Source: RNAcentral
GACGAACGCUGGCGGCGUGCUUAACACAUGCAAGUCGAGCGGGGAUACAAGGGAGCUUGCUCCUGAGUAUUCUAGCGGCGGACGGGUGAGUAACGCGUGAGCAACCCUUUUCUCUCAGUGGGGAAUAACACAGGGAAACUUGUACUAAUACCGCAUAAGCGCACAGUACCGCAUGGUACAGUGUGAAAAACUCCGGUGGCAUACGAUGGACCCGCGUCUGAUUAGCUAGUUGGUGAGGUAACGGCCCACCAAGGCGACGAUCAGUAGCCGGCCUGAGAGGGUGAACGGCCACAUUGGGACUGAGACACGGCCCAAACUCCUACGGGAGGCAGCAGUGGGGAAUAUUGCACAAUGGGGGAAACCCUGAUGCAGCGACGCCGCGUGAGUGAAGAAGUAUUUCGGUAUGUAAAGCUCUAUCAGCAGGGAAGAAAAUGACGGUACCUGACUAAGAAGCCCCGGCUAACUACGUG